AAUCAACGCUGGCGGCGUGCCUAACACAUGCAAGUCGAACGCGAAAGCCCCGCAAGGGGCAAGUAGAGUGGCAAACGGGUGAGUAACACGUGGGUGACCUGCCUCAGAGUGGGGGAUAACGACCCGAAAGGGUCGCUAAUACCGCAUAACAUCCUGCGUUUGGAUACGCGGUGAUCAAAGCCGGGGAUUCGCAAGAACCUGGCGCUUGGAGAGGGGCCCGCGGCCGAUUAGCUAGUUGGNGAGGUAACGGCUCACCAAGGCUACGA
This 266-nucleotide ribosomal RNA is filed under the name uncultured bacterium. RNAcentral describes it as "partial 16S ribosomal RNA". It matches the Rfam family "Bacterial small subunit ribosomal RNA", at positions 32 to 279 of the family's 1533-position model. The record is from RNAcentral.